UAUAAUCAGAAGUCUGCAAGCUUCCAGUCAGAUAAUCCUCAGGUGCACAAUCAGUCAGCAGCUUGGAAUACAAACACUUGCCGUAGCUUGGAAGCUGAAGUCUGCCUGGAGCUUAGCAAGACUGAGAGAAAUCCUGAAAACACUGCAGAGCAGGAGUUAUUACUAUACCUACUAUUCCUCUGAACUUCUUCAAUAUUCCAUUUUUCAGUUAUUACUAUACCUACUAUUCCUCUGAACUUCUUCAAUAUUCCAUUUUUCAGAGAAUGAGUUGAUGGCCUGUGCCCGCCCAUGUCAUAAACAGCCUGCCUAUCAGGAGUGGUGCGACAAAGCCCAAGAUCUGUUUUAGUUGUGGUUCUUAAGAAUGUACCAUAACACAGAGAUGUACCCUGCAAAGAAGGAAUCCUUUGGCUGUACCUUUCCCAUAAAGGAAUCAGUGAGGACACUUUUUUUGGUGAAUCAGCCUCCUUUUUAUUAUACGUGGGUGUUCUACACAAUUACGUGGUACUUGGAGAGUGCUCUUACUUGUGUACAAAACAUUCUUUGUCUCCUCUGAAGAAUGUCCAAAUGCUAUUAAAGAUUGAUGGGCAGAACAGUACUGUUGAUUAUACGUGGGAAUCCAUUCCGUACCUAGAAAUCCACAACUUAAGAAAACGUAUCUUCACAGGCUAAUUAAUAAACAAGUGAAGUUCUAUCACUAUGGUAUGAAAGUACUGAUAUUACCAUAAAAAUGGUUGUUGUUCAUUACUUAGGCGAAGAUUGCAACAUUAAAAAUGAAGAAGCACAUGGGAACAUGACGACAAAAUAAACACAGCGGAGCCAUGAACUCAAGAGAAUGUGGAAUUGAAUUAACCCCAGGCAUAGUUUGAAGGUUUGAUAUGGUCAAUAAUAAUACUAAGAAGAACAUUCAUAUGUAGCAUGAUGGGAGACAACAACAAAAAUAUUGCAAUAGAAUUAAUCGUUCUUGUCUUCUGUAAUGUACAAUAUUGUUACAAAUCUGCGAAAGACACCAAGUGAAAUAUAUAAGAAAAUAUUGCUCAAAAGCAAUAAAUUAAUUUGCACAUGAAGGUUCAAUUGCCAAAGAAUAUUGAACAAGUUUCAAACUAAAAUAUGCAAAAUAAAACCGUAAAUUAGCCACAAUGGUCUAUACAAUGUCUACGAGCAGCACUUUGCCAUUGAAGAAUUUUUAGAACCUGUCCUUUAGUUGCAGACUUUACAGUAGCUCUACAACUUCUGGUAAUGCUAGACAUCAUGUGCCUUGCUUUCUUAUGAUACAACUCUUCAGUUAAGAGACAUUUAUGUGUCAUCUAUAAUUUUUUUUAAUAUACCUUCUUUGAUGAGGAGACCUGCAUACCACUUGCUGCAACUAUUCCUGAAAAGAACAAUGCCAAAAUACAGGAGUCUUAUUGCUUUACCCUGAGGGAACUUAUUCUAAGAUUUAACAGUCCACAUGUUAUUAUUGUAACUGAUUGAGAAUAUGCUAUUGUAAAGGACAUCCGCAAUAUUCAUUGAAAUGUAAAGUAUGUAUUAUAUUGGAAUCAUUUACUGAAAGAUGUGAAAGUCUGGGUGACCAAUCAUGAAGGAUUUAAAGAUGACAGGAAGAUGUAUAGCAACCAUGGGGGUAAUUCCAAGUUGAUUGCAGCAGGAAUUCUGUUAGCAAUUGGGCAAAACCAUGUGCACUGCAGGGGAGGCAGA
Molecule: long non-coding RNA, 1692 nt
Organism: Pseudophryne corroboree (corroboree frog)
Lineage: Eukaryota; Metazoa; Chordata; Amphibia; Anura; Myobatrachidae
Exons: 4
Source: RefSeq, a predicted model, not a curated record